RNAcentral lists this ribosomal RNA (332 nucleotides) under uncultured bacterium. Its description in RNAcentral is "bacterial SSU rRNA". It matches the Rfam family "Bacterial small subunit ribosomal RNA", at positions 568 to 898 of the family's 1533-position model. The record is from RNAcentral.
CGCGUAGGCGGUUCGCUAAGUCGGAUGUGAAAACUCUGGGCUCAACCCAGAGCCUGCAUCCGAAACUGGCGGGCUAGAGUUCUGGAGGGGGUAGCGGAAUUCCUGGUGUAGCGGUGAAAUGCGUAGAUAUCAGGAGGAACACCGGUGGCGAAGGCGGCUACCUGGACAGAAACUGACGCUGAGGCGCGAAAGCUAGGGGAGCAAACAGGAUUAGAUAUCCUGGUAGUCCUAGCCCUAAACGAUGGGUACUUGGUGUGACUGGGAUUGAAUCCAGUCGUGCCGAAGCUAACGCAUUAAGUAUCCCGCCUGGGGAGUACGGUCGCAAGGCUGAA